Molecule: long non-coding RNA, 559 nt
Organism: Hyla sarda
Lineage: Eukaryota; Metazoa; Chordata; Amphibia; Anura; Hylidae
Exons: 3
Source: RefSeq, a predicted model, not a curated record
CAGCUGCUGUGAAAUUCCUUGUAUUGGAUCCUGAACUCCCUGGGACAAAGGUAAAGGUGUUCUUGAAAGGAACAUUGGAAUAUCCAUCAUGGACUUUACCAAGAAGCCUUCUAUUUAAUUGCUUCCAACAUCCUUUUGUGAACCAAUGGAAUGAAGACAGAAGACAACUACAUCCAAUGAUUGGAUAAUUCUUAUAAAGAGAUGUUGAAUGCCAGUUUUACCUUAUCCUGAAGCAACACACAACCCAUUAACUAUACAUUUCCAGAAAGGUUCUUUGCAUUGUUGCGUUUGAUCUGACGUGAUGAGUGACGCACUCUCUAGUGACAUGCAAGUUUAACUAUUAUUUGCAGAACUGAAGAGCCAAAGAGCAAUGAAAUGAUAUCACAGUAAAGAUAAUUUACGUACAUGAAUUCUGUAAUCCGUUUAGACUGGUGAUCCCAAAGGAGAAGGUUACCUUGUUUGUAUGAAGUCAGAAACUCAUGAAUGUUGCCUAAGCUGCAUAAACACAACUGUAGAAUUUCUUAUUCCUAUUUUAUGAACUGAUGCUGACAUUAUAAAA